This 612-nucleotide ribosomal RNA is filed under the name uncultured bacterium. RNAcentral's name for it is "bacterial SSU rRNA". It matches the Rfam family "Bacterial small subunit ribosomal RNA", at positions 62 to 652 of the family's 1533-position model. The record is from RNAcentral.
UCGAGCGGGAAAGCCCGCAAGGGUGAGUACAGCGGCGCACGGGUGCGUAACACGUGGGUAAUCUGCCCUGAAGCCCGGAAUAACUCGCCGAAAGGCGUGCUAAUGCCGGAUGAGACCACGGGAGCCUCGGCUCCUGCGGGAAAAGGUGGCCUCUGCAUGCAAGCUACCACUUCAGGAUGAGCCCGCGGCCCAUCAGCUCGUUGGCGGGGUAACGGCCCACCAAGGCUACGACGGGUAGCUGGUCUGAGAGGACGAUCAGCCACACUGGAACUGAGACACGGUCCAGACUCCUACGGGAGGCAGCAGUGGGGAAUCUUGCGCAAUGGGCGAAAGCCUGACGCAGCAACGCCGCGUGUGUGAUGAAGGUCUUCGGAUCGUAAAGCACUGUCGGGAGGGACGAAUAAGGGCCGGGUGAACAAUCCGGUCCGAUGACGGUACCUCCAAAGGAAGCACCGGCUAACUCUGUGCCAGCAGCCGCGGUAAUACAGAGGGUGCAAGCGUUGUUCGGAAUUAUUGGGCGUAAAGCGCGUGUAGGCGGUCUCGCAAGUCGGAUGUGAAAGCCCUCGGCUUAACCGAGGAAGUGCGUUCGAAACUACGAGACUUGAGUACCGG